ACCACGGAGGGGGUUAAAAGGUGUGUUUGUUUUAAAUAGGAAACUCUCAUUUCAAUCUGUGUUACAGAAAAGCACCUGGUGUUUGGAGAAUGACUGGAGAAGAAUGAGGCUGAGACAAGGUAUCUGUGAUUCCAAAAUGCUCUACAAUAUGUACCCAGAAAUGGAAUUCCUGGAUCAUAAGGUCCUUACAGAUAUCAAGAGACAAGUAUAUUUCUUCUUGGAAGCCAGAUGCCCUGUAAGAAAAUCCAACUCUUCAGAGACCACCACAUGAGGAAACCCACAUUUAUCAUAUGAAGAGACUGCACAAUGAAUGGAUGCCUGGACAGUCUCUAGCAGAGGCCAUCAGUCACGUGAUCGAAGAUGCCAUUUUAUUUAUCUUUUAAAAUCUUAUUAAUUUUGUUUUUACUUUUUUGGUUCUUUUUAGUUAUACAUGACAACAGAAUGUAUUUUGACAUAUUAUACAUAUAUGGAGCCUAACUUCCCCUUCUUGUGGUUGUGCGUGAUGUGGAGUUACACAGGUCAUGUAUUCAUAUAUGAACAUAGGGAAGUUAUGUCCAAUUCAUUCUACUGUCUUCCCCAUUCCCGUCCCCUCAGUACAAUCUGGUGAACCUCUACUCCCCUCCACCCCCAUUGUGAAUCAGCAUCCACAUAUUAGAAAGAACACACGGCCUUUGGUUUUUGGGGAUUGGCAUGAUAGUCUCCAGUUCCAUCCAUUUACUGACAAAUGCCAUAUUUUCAUUCUUUUUUAUGGCUAAUAUUCCAUUUUGUAUAUGUAUUAUGUUUGAAGAAGCCAUUUUAGAUGUUCUAGCCCCAACAGAUAUCUCCUAGAACAGAACUGUACAGCUGAUCCAGAAUCAUGAGAAAUAAUAAAUAGCUGGUGUAAGCCACUAUCUUUUCCGGUGGUCUGUUAGUGCAAUAAUAGAUAAUUAAGACAGGCUGUGAUAGAAAAGUCUGGCAAACCAUUUAUUAUUUUUAAGAAGUAAAAAUGUUAUAGAAACCUAAUAUUUGUAUUCUUAAAACUAUAUGUACUUCACUCUGAUUUUAUAUAACUUUUAAUGUUUAAUUCUUAAAUUACCUUAAUC
Ictidomys tridecemlineatus (thirteen-lined ground squirrel) is the source of this 1082-nucleotide long non-coding RNA. RefSeq lists it as uncharacterized. The record is from RefSeq and is a predicted model, not a curated record. NCBI's taxonomy places the organism in Eukaryota, Metazoa, Chordata, Mammalia, Rodentia, Sciuridae.